Molecule: microRNA precursor, 151 nt
Filed under: Cajanus cajan (pigeon pea)
Lineage: Eukaryota; Viridiplantae; Streptophyta; Magnoliopsida; Fabales; Fabaceae
Description: miRNA gene-KK1_030244
Source: RNAcentral
AUCUGUAAAUUUUUAAAAAAUUUGAAAAUUAUUUGAUACUUCAUUUUAUUAAUUCGAAUUAAUGUAUAAAAUGAUUUUAUAAUUAUCCAUCAAUUUGAAUUAAUGAAAUGAAGUAUCAAAUAAUUUUUAAAUUUUUUAAAAAUUUGCAAAU